Molecule: ribosomal RNA, 1438 nt
Filed under: metagenome
Description: bacterial SSU rRNA
Rfam family: Bacterial small subunit ribosomal RNA
Source: RNAcentral
UCGCUGACGAGUGGCGGACGGGUGAGUAAUGUCUGGGAAACUGCCUGAUGGAGGGGGAUAACUACUGGAAACGGUAGCUAAUACCGCAUAACGUCGCAAGACCAAAGAGGGGGACCUUCGGGCCUCUUGCCAUCAGAUGUGCCCAGAUGGGAUUAGCUAGUAGGUGGGGUAACGGCUCACCUAGGCGACGAUCCCUAGCUGGUCUGAGAGGAUGACCAGCCACACUGGAACUGAGACACGGUCCAGACUCCUACGGGAGGCAGCAGUGGGGAAUAUUGCACAAUGGGCGCAAGCCUGAUGCAGCCAUGCCGCGUGUAUGAAGAAGGCCUUCGGGUUGUAAAGUACUUUCAGCGGGGAGGAAGGGAGUAAAGUUAAUACCUUUGCUCAUUGACGUUACCCGCAGAAGAAGCACCGGCUAACUCCGUGCCAGCAGCCGCGGUAAUACGGAGGGUGCAAGCGUUAAUCGGAAUUACUGGGCGUAAAGCGCACGCAGGCGGUUUGUUAAGUCAGAUGUGAAAUCCCCGGGCUCAACCUGGGAACUGCAUCUGAUACUGGCAAGCUUGAGUCUCGUAGAGGGGGGUAGAAUUCCAGGUGUAGCGGUGAAAUGCGUAGAGAUCUGGAGGAAUACCGGUGGCGAAGGCGGCCCCCUGGACGAAGACUGACGCUCAGGUGCGAAAGCGUGGGGAGCAAACAGGAUUAGAUACCCUGGUAGUCCACGCCGUAAACGAUGUCGACUUGGAGGUUGUGCCCUUGAGGCGUGGCUUCCGGAGCUAACGCGUUAAGUCGACCGCCUGGGGAGUACGGCCGCAAGGUUAAAACUCAAAUGAAUUGACGGGGGCCCGCACAAGCGGUGGAGCAUGUGGUUUAAUUCGAUGCAACGCGAAGAACCUUACCUGGUCUUGACAUCCACGGAAGUUUUCAGAGAUGAGAAUGUGCCUUCGGGAACCGUGAGACAGGUGCUGCAUGGCUGUCGUCAGCUCGUGUUGUGAAAUGUUGGGUUAAGUCCCGCAACGAGCGCAACCCUUAUCCUUUGUUGCCAGCGGUCCGGCCGGGAACUCAAAGGAGACUGCCAGUGAUAAACUGGAGGAAGGUGGGGAUGACGCCAAGUCAUCAUGGCCCUUACAACCAGGGCUACACACGUGCUACAAUGGCGCAUACAAAGAGAAGCGACCUCGCGAGAGCAAGCGGACCUCAUAAAGUGCGUCGUAGUCCGGAUUGGAGUCUGCAACUCGACUCCAUGAAGUCGGAAUCGCUAGUAAUCGUGGAUCAGAAUGCCACGGUGAAUACGUUCCCGGGCCUUGUACACACCGCCCGUCACACCAUGGGAGUGGGUUGCAAAAGAAGUAGGUAGCUUAACCUUCGGGAGGGCGCUUACCACUUUGUGAUUCAUGACUGGGGUGAAGUCGUAACAAGGUAACCGUAGGGGAACCUGCGGUUG